Molecule: unclassified non-coding RNA, 181 nt
Filed under: uncultured Ascomycota
Lineage: Eukaryota; Fungi; Ascomycota
Description: sequence contains ITS2
Source: RNAcentral
AAACCUUCGGCGGUAAUUAUUUAUCACCGGUGCUGGCGGCGGGCGCCCCGCUCCCCGCGGUGGCCCCCCGCCUAAACCUGACGGCGGGUGGCGCAAGGCCCCGGCAGUAGUAGAAAUAUAUCUGCCCGUGCGCUUUUGCGACAUCCGCUCAAACCUCAGGGGAAGUCAAAUUCCCCCAAUU